RNAcentral lists this ribosomal RNA (500 nucleotides) under uncultured bacterium. Its description in RNAcentral is "partial 16S ribosomal RNA". It matches the Rfam family "Bacterial small subunit ribosomal RNA", at positions 30 to 523 of the family's 1533-position model. The record is from RNAcentral.
AUUGAACGCUGGCGGCAGGCCUAACACAUGCAAGUCGAGCGGAUGAGAGGAGCUUGCUCCUCGAUUCAGCGGCGGACGGGUGAGUAAUGCCUAGGAAUCUGCCCAGUAGUGGGGGACAACGUUUCGAAAGGAACGCUAAUACCGCAUACGUCCUACGGGAGAAAGUGGGGGAUCUUCGGACCUCACGCUAUUGGAUGAGCCUAGGUCGGAUUAGCUAGUUGGUAGGGUAAAGGCCUACCAAGGCGACGAUCCGUAACUGGUCUGAGAGGAUGUUCGGUCACACUGGACCUGUGACACGUUCCAGACUCCUACGGGAGGCAGCAGUGGGGAAUAUUGGACAAUGGGCGCAAGCCUGAUCCAGCCAUGCCGCGUGUGUGAAGAAGGCCCUCGGGUCGUAAAGCACUUUAAGUUGGGAGGAAGGGCUUACAGCGAAUACCUGUGAGUUUUGACGUUACCGACAGAAUAAGCACCGGCUAACUUCGUGCCAUCCGCCGCCGUAA